GAUGAAGAACGCAGCGAAAUGCGAUAAGUAACGUGAAUUGCAGAAUUCAGUGAAUCAUCGAAUCUUUGAACGCACAUUGCGCCCCUUGGUAUUCCGAGGGGCAUGCCUGUUCGAGCGUCAUUUUGACCACUCCCGCUUGCGGGGUCUUGGGCCUUCGCCUCUGGGCGGGCCUUAAAAUCAGUGGCGGUGCCGUCCGGCUCUAAGCGUAGUAAAUCUCCUCGCUAUAGGGUUCCGGAGGGAUGCUGGCCAACAACCCCCAACUUUUAAGGUUGACCUCGGAUCAGGUAGGGAUACCCGCUGAACUUAAGCAUAUCAAUAAGCGGAGGA
RNAcentral lists this unclassified non-coding RNA (327 nucleotides) under soil metagenome. RNAcentral's name for it is "partial contains 5.8S ribosomal RNA, internal transcribed spacer 2, and large subunit ribosomal RNA". The stretch from base 1 to 120 matches the Rfam family "5.8S ribosomal RNA", at positions 35 to 154 of the family's 154-position model. The record is from RNAcentral.